RNAcentral lists this long non-coding RNA (265 nucleotides) under Brassica napus (rape). Its description in RNAcentral is "long non-coding RNA (BNAP_LNC003814)". Lineage: Eukaryota; Viridiplantae; Streptophyta; Magnoliopsida; Brassicales; Brassicaceae. The record is from RNAcentral.
UAGUGUUUUGCGAAUGAAUGAGGGUCCGCAAUUAUCUGUUACGAAUUUUUUUUUUUGUUCAAAUUUGUUUUUUUUUUUUUUUUUUUUUUUUUUUUUUUUUUUUUUUUUUUUUUUUUUUUUUUUUUUAAAUUUUUUUUUUUUUUUUUUUUUUUUUUUUGAAGAUUAAAUUGUUCAAAUUUGUUACGAAUUCAUUAUUGGAUAAGCAUAUGUUGUAACACUUAGUAGUUUGGUGCAAGUCUUUUUGCCAAAGUCUAAAUGUCAUUUC